Molecule: long non-coding RNA, 1881 nt
Filed under: Homo sapiens (human)
Lineage: Eukaryota; Metazoa; Chordata; Mammalia; Primates; Hominidae
Description: non-protein coding lnc-UBE2D4-2:4
Source: RNAcentral
AGAUUCGUGAGAAUAUCGCAGGGCCUGUAAUGCUGAAACCAGAACUGCGGCCCCCAACUGUUAUGCAUAUUGAAUAAAGGGACAGAACAGGGAUGAGGUGCCCUCCAAUGCAUACUUUGCAAAUGUGGUGAGGAACAUGGGAUGUGGCAUCUGAAUUGCCUGAGUCCAAAUCGUGGACCCAAUGCUUCCUGGCUGUGUAAUUUGGACAAGUGACUGAACCUUCUGAGCCUCGGUUUCUCUCAUCUGUAAACUGGGGACAAUAAUGGUGGUUGUGAGAAGUACAGUAUGAUGUGCCUGGCAGAGGGAGAGAGCAGUUGUGGGUUUUGUUGUUGUUUUUAACGAGUCCCUGAUAGCCACAUAUCCCGUUAGGGAGAUGAGCCAGCUAUUGAGGGUUCUGUGAGAACUCAUAGCAACACCACCCUAAUCAGAGGAAAGGGGAAGGAGAAAGGGAAACAAGAUCCUUGGGCUGAUCAGAGGCAGAGGUGGCAAUGGCACAACACCUAUUGGGGCCCAAGGUGGGCAGGGGCCACACCACGAAGGCUGUGGUUGGGAAUCAAGUUUAGCCCAUAAAGCAGUAGGCAAUCAAAUGAUCAAAUUUAUGCUUUCCUCUAUUCAAGCCAUUCUCCCUUAUGCCUGAGAUCUCUCUCUGGAAUUCCAAACCGAUCUAGAUCUUUCCAAGCAUCACAAUGGCCAUUUCAGUGGCAGACAUUUCUGGGGUUCAAAUAUCUUGUUAUCUAUCCUUUAUUAGCUUUGUUUAUACUGUGAUUGGGGGAAAGGGGACGUGUCGGUCUUUACAUGAUUAAAAUUACUUAAAAUGACUUUUAUACAUCAGUAUGAAUGUUAUAUUGUUUUAAAUAAUCAGCAGAAAAAUCUGACUGGGGAUGUUUUAUUUUUCUGUAACUUCCAUUUGUUGUUGUUUUGAUGCACUUUCCUUCUCCUAUUAAUUCCAUAAAGGAGGCAGUAUUUCCAGGCUUCACAGAGCAGAAGAUGGAGGCUCACAGACUCACCUGAGGUUACAGAAGUAGUAAAUGGUAGCAGGCCUUUUUGCUCCAAAGCAUGUGCUCUUUCAGUAUCACUUCCUGGGGGUGAGGGUUCAGACCAUGUUAGGAUCAGGGAAUGGCCUGGGUUUCUGUGGCUUGCUGCAGACAGCUCCCAAGUGGCCCUCAAGGACUGCCUGGACAUGGAAAGGCCAGGAGCAUAUGACCCCAUGUGAAAGACCCAUCUGCACCCUUCCUGGAGCCUAAUGCAGAGACAGGGAUGUAAAACUGCUUUUUCUCUGACAUGAGCCUUUGUUCUGUACAUAAUAACCAAGAACCAGAAGUUGCUCCUAUGCUCUCAAAGCAGUGAUUUGCAAUUGCAUGACAGAGCCCCCUGGGUUCCACACCACCUCUGUGGGGAGAGGGCAGGCACUCACACUUUUAAAAUGCCCCUUAGAUGAUUUCAAUUUGCAGUCGGGGCUGAGAACCAGUGUCCUGAACUCACUCAGUUUAUUUGGGAGACUCCCAAAAUGUGUAUUUGCAGAGCCCCCUUUCGGGGAGAGUGCUGUUGGAUGCCCCUGGAAGAUUAUGGCAGCUCUCUAAGGAACAUAGCCAUAGUCCACGCCCACCACUCUUGGUCACAAGGGCAGAAGAAGGGAGGAGGGGUCUGCUGGGAGGUCAGGACUUCUUUGAGAUGAUCUGUCCAGUUGGGUGCAGCACAGCCACCAUGGGCUCACCCAGAGUGCUCAGGGGAUACAGCACUGGCUGGGCCAUGGAGAGACACUGUGUAAAAGGGAGCUGUCAGCCCCCUUGUACUUCCAGAGCCUGAAGAGUUUCAGAAUCCAGCCUGGGGGCGGUGGGGUGACAUCUCCCUUCCUGUUGGCUGCAGGGUGAGCCGAUAUCA